GUAAUGCCGGAUGCUCCAUCACACCGCAUGGUGUGUUGGGAAAGCCUUUGCGGCAUGGGAUGGGGUCGCGUCCUAUCAGCUUGAUGGCGGGGUAACGGCCCACCAUGGCUUCGACGGGUAGCCGGCCUGAGAGGGCGACCGGCCACAUUGGGACUGAGAUACGGCCCAGACUCCUACGGGAGGCAGCAGUGGGGAAUAUUGCACAAUGGGCGCAAGCCUGAUGCAGCGACGCCGCGUGAGGGAUGGAGGCCUUCGGGUUGUAAACCUCUUUUGUUAGGGAGCAAGGCAUUUUGUGUUGAGUGUACCUUUCGAAUAAGCACCGGCUAACUACGUGCCAGCAGCCGCGGUAAUACGUAGGGUGCAAGCGUUAUCCGGAAUUAUUGGGCGUAAAGGGCUCGUAGGCGGUUCGUCGCGUCCGGUGUGAAAGUCCAUCGCUUAACGGUGGAUUCGCGCCGGGUACGGGCGGGCUUGAGUGCGGUAGGGGAGACUGGAAUUCCCGGUGUAACGGUGGAAUGUGUAGAUAUCGGAAAGAACA
Molecule: ribosomal RNA, 535 nt
Filed under: Bifidobacterium breve
Lineage: Bacteria; Bacillati; Actinomycetota; Actinomycetes; Bifidobacteriales; Bifidobacteriaceae
Description: bacterial SSU rRNA
Rfam family: Bacterial small subunit ribosomal RNA
Source: RNAcentral